ACGAUUCAUGUCCGUUUAAAUAUAAUUUCAAAUCAUGAUUUGACACUGAAAGUUUAUUUGAACAUAAUGUUUAGAUCCAUAAAGUUAAUACUUUUUCUUCUAAACAUGAAAAUUUCAUAAUUUGUGAAAAAUAUCAAAGUUUUCAAUUUAAGAGCUGGUGAAGGGGAUGAGCGAAAAUGGUGAGUUUACUAGACGCGGUUCAACUAACGAUGACUCUUGGAACAACUGAAGUAUAGAAAGUCGUCAAGCACAUACGAUAAGGACCAAGGAAGAUCUCGUUGUUGCAUAGCUCAGAUCGGAGCAAGGUGCCAUCAGAUUUUCAAUAAGUAAUCUCAUAAUUGGACGCUCAUGUUCAACAUGUAGGUUUCUAAUAAAUAUGGUUGGUAAAAUGACAAGUAAAGUAGGUUGGAAAUUACUUAUGCAUGUCAAACAUCCACUAAAUUUUUUAAUCAUCAAUAUUAAUUAACUAGAAUAAGUGGACGUUCUCGUAUUUGAUUGGAU
RNAcentral lists this long non-coding RNA (501 nucleotides) under Capsicum annuum. Its description in RNAcentral is "long non-coding RNA (CANN_LNC010594)". The record is from RNAcentral. Lineage: Eukaryota; Viridiplantae; Streptophyta; Magnoliopsida; Solanales; Solanaceae.